This 459-nucleotide ribosomal RNA is filed under the name uncultured bacterium. Its description in RNAcentral is "partial 16S ribosomal RNA". It matches the Rfam family "Bacterial small subunit ribosomal RNA", at positions 338 to 795 of the family's 1533-position model. The record is from RNAcentral.
CCUACGAGGGGCAGCAGUGAGGAAUAUUGGUCAAUGGUCGGGAGACUGAACCAGCCAAGCCGCGUGAGGGAUGAAGGUACAGAGUAUCGUAAACCUCUUUUGUCAGGGAACAAAGGCGGGGACGUGUCCCCGGAUGAGUGUACCUGAAGAAAAAGCAUCGGCUAACUCCGUGCCAGCAGCCGCGGUAAUACGGAGGAUGCGAGCGUUAUCCGGAUUUAUUGGGUUUAAAGGGUGCGCAGGCGGUCUGUUAAGUCAACGGUAAAAGCCCGGGGCCAAACCCCGGCCCGCCGUUGAAACGGGCAGUCUAGAGUUGGAGAGAAGUAUGCGGAAUGCGCGGUGUAGCGGUGAAAUGCAUAGAUAUCGCGCAGGACUCCGAUUGCGAAGGCAGCAUGCCGGCUCCACACUGACGCUGAGGCACGAAAGCGUGGGUAUCGAACAGGAUUAGAUACCCUGGUAGUC